Molecule: long non-coding RNA, 934 nt
Organism: Mustela lutreola (European mink)
Lineage: Eukaryota; Metazoa; Chordata; Mammalia; Carnivora; Mustelidae
Exons: 4
Source: RefSeq, a predicted model, not a curated record
AUUUGAACUCCGCCGCUCGCUGUCUCGCUCUCCCUACUCGGCCCGGUGCACCUCUCUACCCCCUCCCAGCCGGUGCGCUCUCUGGCGCGCUCGCUCGCUCUCCCGCUAUCCGACGAGUCCUCAACAAGUUGGAGGAAAGCAGGAACGCAGGGGUUAAGCUCGGAAAGCAGCAAUUACCAAGAUCGUGACCCUCCCACACAGUACAGUAACUUAUAUACUUACCUGGAAGAGCCUGCUUUGCCGCUGGGCAAACACCCGUGGGGGGCGGGGAGGGGCGGGAGGGGAGCGGGCCGGUUGGAAAGGGACUCCUUCAAGCUGGCUGCAGUGCGGACGGGACCAGCGCGCUCUCGGGGCCCCCGGACCGAGGUAGUCAGACCAGUCCUGCCAGCUGGGGGUCUACGUGAGGGGUGGCCACUGGAGACAGGAGUCUGGGAGGCCACGGAACUGAAGAGUCUGAACACUGUGAGCUCCAGAGUCCCAGGAAAUUGUCAAAUUUUAUCUUCGGAAGAAACUUGGAGACUUUUUUAAAGGUGAAAUUUUCAUCUUUAGGACUGAACUCCUUCUCAACUGAACUUAAUGGAGAGAUUAAGUGCCUUGUUUUGUGAGCUAUGUUUAAAUGAAGAUGAGCUAGAAGACAGAACUGUUAAAAAUAUGUAAGUUUUAUUAUAUAGCCAAAUGAAGGAUUCGGCUCUCUUGUAAUGGUAUUCUGAAAAAUUCCUAGCUUCUGUGAAAUUCCCUAAUUAUGGAAUUUUCUUUCAUGAUAUGGAGCUACUCCUGAUUUCAUCAUGAGAAUCUGAUCUGAAACUCAAUUUACGGAAAUACUGAAAAUGAAUUUCAAAUUAAAUGAGACCAUCUGUAUACUAAUAUGAUGCAAUACUGUUGAUUCACAUUUUUCCAUAUUAAAGACUGUUCUGAACUCUAAAUCUUUUAAAUA